Molecule: ribosomal RNA, 572 nt
Filed under: Trichogramma evanescens
Lineage: Eukaryota; Metazoa; Arthropoda; Insecta; Hymenoptera; Trichogrammatidae
Description: eukaryotic LSU rRNA
Rfam family: Eukaryotic large subunit ribosomal RNA
Source: RNAcentral
ACCCGUCUUGAAACACGGACCAAGGAGUCUAACACGCACGCGAGUCACUGGGAAUUUUUCACGAAACUCACUGGCGUAAUGAAAGUAAAGGUCGUGGCCUUGCGCUCGACCGAGGGAGGAUGGCUCGCGUCACGAUGCGAGCCCGCACUCCCGGGGCGUAUCAAGCUCAUUGCGAGCUGUCGCGCACCCAGAGCGUGCGCGUUGGGACCCGAAAGAUGGUGAACUAUGCCUGGUCAGGAUGAAGUCAGGGGAAACCCUGAUGGAGGUCCGUAGCGAUUCUGACGUGCAAAUCGAUCGUCGGAACUGGGUAUAGGGGCGAAAGACUAAUCGAACCAUCUAGUAGCUGGUUCCCUCCGAAGUUUCCCUCAGGAUAGCUGGCACUCGCUUGAGCGAGUCUCAUCUGGUAAAGCGAAUGAUUAGAGGCCUUGGGGCCGAAACGACCUCAACCUAUUCUCAAACUUUAAAUGGGUGAGAUCUCUGGCUUGCUUGAAUUGUGAAGCCAGAGAUUCAUUAAUGAACGGAUCAGAGUGCCAAGUGGGCCAAUUUUGGUAAGCAGAACUGGCGCUGUGGGA